CCGGUAGAAUCGCGCGGUCAUUGGGGAGUAGUCGCCCUCUACCCAGAGGGGCUUGCGUCAACAUACUUGACCGAUUGGUCAUGGCGCAAGCGGUUUCCUAGCUUGGCGAGACCUUUGACCAUAUCGCCUUCGGACUGGCCGGAGAAGCGGUGUGGUCAUUUGUCUUCUUCCGGCCAGGGAGCACC
This 185-nucleotide small RNA is filed under the name unidentified. RNAcentral describes it as "Freshwater sediment Manganese sequence". It matches the Rfam family "Manganese Mn2+ riboswitch aptamer (yybP-ykoY)". Rfam says of the family: This RNA was originally discovered in E. coli during a large scale screen and was named SraF. The family was later found to exist upstream of related families of protein genes in many bacteria, including the the yybP and ykoK genes in B. subtilis. The specific functions of these proteins are unknown, but this structured RNA element may be involved in their genetic regulation as a riboswitch. The record is from RNAcentral. RNAcentral also lists the same sequence under 1 other name.